GGAGACAGGGGGAUAUGAUAAAAACAUUUAAAUACAUAAAGGGAAUCAACACAGUAAAGGAGGAGACUAUAUUUAAAAGAAGAAAAACUACCACAACAAGAGGACAUUGUCUAUAAUUAGAGGGGAAAAGGUUUAAAAAUAAUUUCAGGAAAUAUUACUGAGAGGUUAGUGGAUGCAUGGAAUAGCUUUCCAGCUGAAGUGGUAGAGGUUAACACAGUGAAGGAGUUUAAGCAUGCGUGGAAUAGGCAUAAGGCUAUCCUAACUACAAGAUAAGGCCAGGGACAAAUGAAAGUAUUUAGAAAAUUGGGCAGACUAGAUGGGCCGAAUGGUUCUUAUCUGCCGUCACAUUCUAUGUUUCUAUGUUUCUAUGAUAUGGGGCAGAUGUAAAGAGGAACAAGGCAGAUGGAAUUGGAAUGAGAUAGGUUGGUUAUUUAAGUCAGUGGGUGUUUGAGAGCAAUUGAGCUAGAUUUGUAGGAGAAAUGGGGUUGAGGAAAGGAGGACGAAAUUAGACUGGCACAGGGGCUGCAGGAAGAAAUUAGACUGAUUUAAUAAUCAUUAAUAUUAAUAAUAAAAACACUACUACUAAUAACAUUAAUAAUAAUGCAAAUAUGCUACACUUACUGACAAAACCUGGCGCGCACUCCGAACAAAUUGGACAGCAUUUUAUUACCCUAUUAUCCUAUUGUGGUCUGAAAGUCAAUACAAAGUAUUGUUGAACACUAAGACAUCUUUUGUGCACUAUGUCACAUAGAUUUGUUAGAUGAUGUAUUGAGCAGUGAAUAGUACACGUAUGUAAAGGGCAGCAUGUGGUUAUAGUACAUGCAAUCAAUACCAAGAUGUAUAUGACAUCCCAGAGGAUGGAUGAGGAAUAUAGCUGUUUUAGUUAGUGGAACAUUGCCUUUGAGUGCAAC
Non-coding RNA from Pelobates cultripes (western spadefoot toad), 911 nucleotides. NCBI's taxonomy places the organism in Eukaryota, Metazoa, Chordata, Amphibia, Anura, Pelobatidae. The record is from the annotation of a GenBank genome assembly.